ACCAGUAUCAUUCGUUCUCAUGAAUUAAGAUGAAGCAAUUUCGAUUUCAACCUGGGGUAAUGGAUUUAGGUUCUAAUUUUGGCCAAAGGUGAGAGAGGAAUUUUGAAUGAAAUAAAUAAAUAUGGCUUAGGAAAAUUCUAAUUCUGAGAAAAUCGAUGAGUUUUUCAAUUUUAAGCAAACCAAAAUCCUAUGGUCACGCGAGUCCUAUCAUGCCUCAAAAAUUUACAAAGUAAGAACAAUGCGGGCUCUACUCGUGUGUUUAUCAUGAAAACAAGUCAAGAUAAACAUCAUGGUCAAGAUGAAAAAUCUGAUAGGAUAGGGAUAUAUGGUUCUCUAUUCCAAGAAAAAUCAAAUAAAAAUUUGGAUGGCUCAAUUCAUUGGUUUAUCAAAAAGAGAGGAAUAGAAAAUGACUGAGCGAAUAAAACUUCAAAUAUUAUUCUAACUGAAGGUUCAACUUAUUAAAUGUUCACCUAGUAUGACGUAGCAAAAUCUGUGACUCACUUACUUGACUCUUCAAAUGAUUCCAGGGUUGUCCUCCCAAUAGCUUAUUCUUAACUCGAUCAUCCGGUUGCCUCCCACAAAGCGCUUCAUUUAUAGUCUAUAACUAGACGCUUCAAUUCUUCGAUUUGGACUAGCGCUCAGUGUCAGCGCUACAUUAUUCAGCACCCACUUCUUCACCAUCUAUGGCUUUGCUGUAGGCAUAGGCUUGGCUAUCUUUUUGGUCUUCAUAGGCUGGCGUUCUUCCUUCUUCUGGACGAUCACAACUUCUUCUACUGGCUUCUUUUCUUCUGCCUUCUUGUUCUUCUCCUCCUGCUUGACACGACGAUGUGGCAGUAUAUACUUGCUAGAAAUCAUGUUACAGACCUCAAAGCAUGGGCAAAACUUGAACGCGCUCAUAGUGCCAUUGAUGUCGAAC
This 916-nucleotide long non-coding RNA is filed under the name Setaria viridis. RNAcentral describes it as "long non-coding RNA (SVIR_LNC004490)". Lineage: Eukaryota; Viridiplantae; Streptophyta; Magnoliopsida; Poales; Poaceae. The record is from RNAcentral.